AAGGACAUGUGGAGCGCUUAGAAGUGAGAAUGCCGGUGUGAGUAGCGAAAGACGGGUGAGAAUCCCGUCCACCGAUUGACUAAGGUUUCCAGAGGAAGGCUCGUCCGCUCUGGGUUAGUCGGGUCCUAAGCUGAGGCCGACAGGCGUAGGCGAUGGAUAACAGGUUGAUAUUCCUGUACCACCUAUAAUCGUUUUAAUCGAUGGGGGGACGCAGUAGGAUAGGCGAAGCGUGCGAUUGGAUUGCACGUCUAAGCAGUAAGGCUGAGUAUUAGGCAAAUCCGGUACUCAUUAAGGCUGAGCUGUGAUGGGGAGAAGACAUUGUGUCUUCGAGUCGUUGAUUUCACACUGCCGAGAAAAGCCUCUAGAUAGAAAAUAGGUGCCCGUACCGCAAACCGACACAGGUAGUCAAGAUGAGAAUUCUAAGGUGAGCGAGCGAACUCUCGUUAAGGAACUCGGCAAAAUGACCCCGUAACUUCGGGAGAAGGGGUGCUCUUUAGGGUUAACGCCCAGAAGAGCCGCAGUGAAUAGGCCCAAGCGACUGUUUAUCAAAAACACAGGUCUCUGCUAAACCGUAAGGUGAUGUAUAGGGGCUGACGCCUGCCCGGUGCUGGAAGGUUAAGAGGAGUGGUUAGCUUCUGCGAAGCUACGAAUCGAAGCCCCAGUAAACGGCGGCCGUAACUAUAACGGUCCUAAGGUAGCGAAAUUCCUUGUCGGGUAAGUUCCGACCCGCACGAAAGGCGUAACGAUUUGGGCACUGUCUCAACGAGAGACUCGGUGAAAUCAUAGUACCUGUGAAGAUGCAGGUUACCCGCGACAGGACGGAAAGACCCCGUGGAGCUUUACUGUAGCCUGAUAUUGAAAUUCGGCACAGCUUGUACAGGAUAGGUAGGAGCCUUUGAAACGUGAGCGCUAGCUUACGUGGAGGCGCUGGUGGGAUACUACCCUAGCUGUGUUGGCUUUCUAACCCGCACCACUUAUCGUGGUGGGAGACAGUGUCAGGCGGGCAGUUUGACUGGGGCGG
This 1021-nucleotide ribosomal RNA is filed under the name Staphylococcus argenteus. Its description in RNAcentral is "bacterial LSU rRNA". It matches the Rfam family "Bacterial large subunit ribosomal RNA", at positions 1265 to 2282 of the family's 2925-position model. The record is from RNAcentral. Lineage: Bacteria; Bacillati; Bacillota; Bacilli; Caryophanales; Staphylococcaceae.